RNAcentral lists this microRNA precursor (204 nucleotides) under Oryza glumipatula. RNAcentral describes it as "MIR812 microRNA precursor family". It matches the Rfam family "MIR812 microRNA precursor family". Lineage: Eukaryota; Viridiplantae; Streptophyta; Magnoliopsida; Poales; Poaceae. The record is from Rfam by way of RNAcentral.
AAAAAGACAAACCCUGGUUUUCGUGCCCAACGUUUGACCGUCCGUCUUAUUUGAAAAAAUUAUGAAAAUAAAUAAAAAUACAAGUCACGCAUAAAAUAUUAAUCAUAUUUUAUCAUCUAACAACAAUAAAAAUAUGAAUUAUAAAAAAAUUUAUAUAAGACGGACAAUCAAAGUUGGACACGGAAACCCAAGGUUUGCCUUUUU